RNAcentral lists this ribosomal RNA (603 nucleotides) under Salmonella enterica. RNAcentral's name for it is "partial 23S ribosomal RNA". It matches the Rfam family "Bacterial large subunit ribosomal RNA", at positions 587 to 1191 of the family's 2925-position model. Lineage: Bacteria; Pseudomonadati; Pseudomonadota; Gammaproteobacteria; Enterobacterales; Enterobacteriaceae. The record is from RNAcentral.
GGUGGGGUGACUGCGUACCUUUUGUAUAAUGGGUCAGCGACUUAUAUUCUGUAGCAAGGUUAACCGUAUAGGGGAGCCGGAGGGAAACCGAGUCUUAAUUGGGCGUUAAGUUGCAGGGUAUAGACCCGAAACCCGGUGAUCUAGCCAUGGGCAGGUUGAAGGUUGGGUAACACUAACUGGAGGACCGAACCGACUAAUGUUGAAAAAUUAGCGGAUGACCUGUGGCUGGGGGUGAAAGGCCAAUCAAACCGGGAGAUAGCUGGUUCUCCCCGAAAGCUAUUUAGGUAGCGCCUCGUGAAUUCAUCUCCGGGGGUAGAGCACUGUUUCGGCUAGGGGGCCAUCCCGGCUUACCAACCCGAUGCAAACUGCGAAUACCGGAGAAUGUUAUCACGGGAGACACACGGCGGGUGCUAACGUCCGUCGUGAAGAGGGAAACAACCCAGACCGCCAGCUAAGGUCCCAAAGUCAUGGUUAAGUGGGAAACGAUGUGGGAAGGCCCAGACAGCCAGGAUGUUGGCUUAGAAGCAGCCAUCAUUUAAAGAAAGCGUAAUAGCUCACUGGUCGAGUCGGCCUGCGCGGAAGAUGUAACGGGGCUAAACCAUG